RNAcentral lists this ribosomal RNA (497 nucleotides) under uncultured bacterium. RNAcentral's name for it is "partial 16S ribosomal RNA". It matches the Rfam family "Bacterial small subunit ribosomal RNA", at positions 28 to 507 of the family's 1533-position model. The record is from RNAcentral.
GAUGAACGCUGGCGGCGUGCCUAAUACAUGCAAGUCGAGCGAACAGACGAGGAGCUUGCUCCUUUGACGUUAGCGGCGGACGUGUGAGUAACACGUAGGUAACCUACCUAUAAGACUGGGAUAACUUCGGGAAACCGGAGCUAAUACCGGAUAAUAUUUCGAACCUCAUGGUUCGAUAGUGAAAGAUGGCUUUGCUAUCACUUAUAGAUGGACCUGCGCCGUAUUAGCUAGUUGGUAAGGUAACGGCUUACCAAGGCAACGAUACGUAGCCGACCUGAGAGGGUGAUCGGCCACACUGGAACUGAGACACGGUCCAGACUACUACGGGAGGCAGCAGUAGGGAAUCUUCCGCAAUGGGCGAAAGCCUGACGGAGCAACGCCGCGUGAGUGAUGAAGGUCUUCGGAUCGUAAAACUCUGUUAUUAGGGAAGAACAAACGUGUAAGUAAAUGUGCACGUCUGGACGGUACCUAAUCAGAAAGCCACGGCUAACUACGUG